UCGGAACGUAUCCCGUAGAGGGGGAUAGCUCGGCGAAAGCCGGAUUAAUACCGCAUAUGCUCUACGGAGGAAAGCAGGGGACCCUGAGGGUAACCGAGGGGCCUUGCGCUAUGGGAGCGGCCGAUGUCCGAUUAGCUUAUUGGUGAGGUAAAGGCUUACCAAGGCGACGAUCGGUAGCUGGUCUGAGAGGAUGAUCAGCCACACUGGGACUGAGACACGGCCCAG
This 225-nucleotide ribosomal RNA is filed under the name uncultured bacterium. Its description in RNAcentral is "partial 16S ribosomal RNA". It matches the Rfam family "Bacterial small subunit ribosomal RNA", at positions 118 to 334 of the family's 1533-position model. The record is from RNAcentral.